CGAGCAUCGCCGACCCUCUGUCCAUUAACCCUAGCAGCCGCCAUGAGCUCUCCAACACAAACCCUAGGUGCCGCGUCUCGUCGUCUGCUACUCGCUGCCACGCCGCCAGCGCCAUUAGCUGCAGCCCGCGCACCACCGGCGUCAGUGCCAUCACCGCAGCCUGCACUCGAUCUGGUCCACCCGCCAACUGCAGCACCUUCGACGGUCUCCACCAUGCUGUCGUCACUUUGUCUGCUCUCCAAUACCCAUAUCGGCGCCCCCGCGACUCGCACCGCUUGCGGCUGUGUUGGUAUGAAAUAUUUUGUGGUUGUAUAUCAUCAUUUGAUUCUAGUCCACAUUACACUUAGUAGAAUAUAUACAAUAAUUUUUAGAUGGGAAAGUGGAUAUUGAGGUACAAAUUGAUAUUUUCACAAGUCUCUAAAUUUAUUUUGGUCUAUGAAAUUCUCAUAUGAAACUAGUUUCUCCAUCACAGGCCAAAUCAUAAAUUAGUUAGGUCUAAGCAUCUAAGGGAAAAAGAAUUAGAACGACUUUUCUUGAGGCUUAUUUAACUGAAGCAUCACACAUCUGUGAAGAGAAAUGAUAAGCUUCUUUUUUUUUUUAUUGUUAAUGGCUUUAAUAAGUGAUUAUAGAUUGCACUUCCCUCUAAUAUAAGUUUCAGAAAUGGAAAACGCACACCUAAAACUAGCUAGAGCUGUCCUUAUAUGCUCUGUACCUCCUUCAGGAGAUAUGUUAUAUUCUUAACAAAAUUGUCUUAAUUUAUACGUAAAUCUUUAUUCUCAUGACUGAUGUAUUUUUUUCCAAUUUUCCCAAUGGCCUAGUGUGGCGGUAUCUAUUCUCCAAACCUAUUGUUGCAUUUAAGGUACUACAUCUUGUAAAGAAUGAAUAACUUCUUUAGAGCAAGAUUGUUUCCUAACUGUGAAAACUUAAACCAAUUACCCGGGGUACAUCUAAUUUGUGACAAUAUGAAACAGAUUAACAUGCAGUUUGGCAGCAAAAGCUUUACUGUCAUGACCUCCUGAAGGAACCAUAGUUUGACGUAUGAUCCAUUUGCUCGUGACCCAUUCCGGAUGCCAAACGAGUACAUACAAAAAUCACAAAUGCCUAUUGCAAGAGUUCAAAACUUACUUGCAAAUCCGACGAUCAAAGACUCCAGUGUUGAUCUUCCAACUUGUUCCCACGGUAGAGCAUGAUGUUGGGUGGCAACGUGCUUCAAGUCCUCUCCUUCAAAGUUGGCGUCUCCUCACUCUCACGAUCUGCUCUCACGUGUAUGAUUAAUUAAUUAGGUUUAGGGUUAUCUCUUAUUAUUUAUACUAGGUAUUAGACAUACCUAAAUGAUAAACACUCAUUUUGCAUGGUUUAUAUUAUGCGGUUUAAGUCGAUUUUACGCCUGUUUUAUUAUUGUUUGGAGUUCAUUGUAUAUUAUUUCAUGAUUUCACGGUCGGGUGUAGUUUUGGCAGUUUUGAUGCAUGGAUGAGUGGUAUUGGAACAUGGAGUGUAAGGAACGUGCUUAAGAGAAGAGUUUUGAGAGAAUCGAG
This 1535-nucleotide long non-coding RNA is filed under the name Salvia miltiorrhiza (redroot sage). Its description in RNAcentral is "long non-coding RNA (SMIL_LNC007406)". The record is from RNAcentral. Lineage: Eukaryota; Viridiplantae; Streptophyta; Magnoliopsida; Lamiales; Lamiaceae.